AGCUCCAAUAGCGUAUAUUAAAGUUGUUGCAGUUAAAAAGCUCGUAGUUGGAUUUCUGUUAAAAGCAAGUAGCCCGCUCUUUGAGUGUUGUGCUUACGUCGUUUUUGACAUUUUUCUGUUUUUCGGUUAGUGCUCUUUAUUGGGCACUUAAUUCAUGAACAGGACUUUUACUUUGAGAAAAUUAGAGUGUUCUAAGCAGGCUAUUGCCUUGAAUACUGCAGCAUGGAAUAAUAAUAUAGGAUUUCAAUUCUAUUUUAUUGGUUCUAAGGAUUGAAAUAAUGAUUAAUAGGGACAGUUGGGGGCAUUCGUAUUUAACUGUCAGAGGUGAAAUUCUUAGAUUUGUUAAAGACGAACUACUGCGAAAGCAUUUGCCAAGGAUGUUUUCA
RNAcentral lists this ribosomal RNA (386 nucleotides) under uncultured eukaryote. Its description in RNAcentral is "SSU rRNA". It matches the Rfam family "Eukaryotic small subunit ribosomal RNA", at positions 587 to 972 of the family's 1831-position model. The record is from RNAcentral.